Molecule: ribosomal RNA, 651 nt
Filed under: Triticum aestivum (bread wheat)
Lineage: Eukaryota; Viridiplantae; Streptophyta; Magnoliopsida; Poales; Poaceae
Description: partial small subunit ribosomal RNA
Source: RNAcentral
AUGUGGAGUGCGGAAUCAGACUGUCGUUGCCACUGCUCAUGCCGUGUUGAAACAGAGAAAGUUGCCAGCAAAAUUUUGGGGGGAGGCGGUCACAACUUCAGUUUUCUGCUGAAUCGAGCCCCGACCAAAAGUAUGGCUGGCAUGACGGCCACGGGAGGAAGCCUGCUGUCCAGCACCUGCACACCUUUGGGUGUGUGGUGUACGUCAAGGACGUACGCCCUCAGCUUCGCAAGCCCGUUGAUCGCUGCUCCGCCAUGGUCUCUUCAUCGGCUACGACAAGCGCGUCAAGGGCUGCUGCACAUACGAACAAGCGUGUCUAUAUCACUUGUGAUGUCAUCUUCGAUGAAGAGGCCAGCUUUUAUUGGACGGCCGUGCAGUGACUUCAUCAUCAUGAAGAUCCAGCAAGCUGCUUCUUCCACACCAAGUGCAGCUGCAGGGGGAGCACCUUCCCCUGUUCCUGCACCAUCUCCUGCUGCACAGCCAUCUCCAGCAUCGCUGCCAACAACAUCAAGCCAAUCUCCACAGGCAACACAGCUUGAGUUCGUGUCACCGCCACGCGAUGACAACGAGCGGUUGGACACAAGUCAUGAUGACUCACUGCUGCGCUAUCAGGGCAUUGACAAGGUGAUCGGCAGCACCCUUGUUGUAUAG